AUGAACGCUGGCGGCGUGCCUAAUCCAUGCAAGUCGAGCGAACAGACGAGGAGCUUGCUCCUCUGACGUUAGCGGCGGACGGGUGAGUAACACGUGGAUAACCUACCUAUAAGACUGGGAUAACUUCGGGAAACCGGAGCUAAUACCGGAUAAUAUAUUGAACCGCAUGGUUCAAUAGUGAAAGACGGUUUUGCUGUCACUUAUAGAUGGAUCCGCGCCGCAUUAGCUAGUUGGUAAGGUAACGGCUUACCAAGGCAACGAUGCGUAGCCGACCUGAGAGGGUGAUCGGCCACACUGGAACUGAGACACGGUCCAGACUCCUACGGGAGGCAGCAGUAGGGAAUCUUCCGCAAUGGGCGAAAGCCUGACGGAGCAACGCCGCGUGAGUGAUGAAGGUCUUCGGAUCGUAAAACUCUGUUAUUAGGGAAGAACAAAUGUGUAAGUAACUAUGCACGUCUUGACGGCACCUAAUCAGAAAGCCACGGCUAACUACGUG
This 496-nucleotide ribosomal RNA is filed under the name uncultured bacterium. RNAcentral describes it as "partial 16S ribosomal RNA". It matches the Rfam family "Bacterial small subunit ribosomal RNA", at positions 29 to 507 of the family's 1533-position model. The record is from RNAcentral.